UCGUGUGUUUCAAGCUGCCCACACUUCAC
This 29-nucleotide non-coding RNA is filed under the name Homo sapiens (human). Lineage: Eukaryota; Metazoa; Chordata; Mammalia; Primates; Hominidae. The record is from RNAcentral.